AACAUAGCCCAAUAGUUUACAGUAAUCCAGUCUGAAGUGCAAAGAUGUGUUCCAGCAGAAUCAGGACAGACCAGGAUGAGUGACUCUAUAGAAGGCAGCGCCGGGACCUUCACACCCUGGUUUUAGAAAAUUCCUGGCUCUUUCUGCAUGUUACAAAGUGAUGAGAAAAAGAUGAAACAAAGGAGUAGAGCUGAGCCAAGCUCAUCAACAUUGGCAAAGAUCACAAAAUAAAAUUUUUACAACAUACAGAUGUGCAUUAAUAAAAUUUGGGCACAUCAGUUGAGAAGAGCAAUUUGUACUGACAUCCUGAAAACCCGGGUUUCAUUAACUGCUUCAAUUCCGCACCACUCUAAAACUUCAGGGCUGGGAUGUGCACUGUCAUGGGAUCAUUCACAUGAACUCCUCUCCAUUCCAGAGUGUUCUAUCCAUGCAAUGGCUUGGAAACUGAUGAAAGUGUGAGUUUUACCUUUCCACUCUCACUGGGGGUGAGCAGACUCUGGCUUCCUCUCCUGGAGAUAGAUGUAGGACUCUGGGGAGGAAGUGGAAUACAGGCGCUGUGGAUAUUUCAAUGUGGCAUGGGAUGACAUGGGGCAUCUAAAACAUUAUUUCUGUAAAAUACAUUGUCUCUAGCUUCUACCAUCCUAGAACUGUCUGUGGAGGCAUGGUAUUAUUUUGAGAAACAUUUGUUCCCAGAAGUGGCCCAUGUUUCAGUCAUGUUCUAAAUUUCAGUUGGAAUAUACGGUCACUGAUCUACAGACUCACUUAAGCAGACUCUAUUCAUGUAUUUUUAACAAGCAUUUACUUUAUGCCACCACUGCUUUGAAGACUGAACCCUGAGAAGCAGGUAACAUUAUCAAUGCUGUUCUACAGCAAGGAGCAUGCAC
RNAcentral lists this long non-coding RNA (884 nucleotides) under Chinchilla lanigera (long-tailed chinchilla). Its description in RNAcentral is "lncRNA (ENSCLAG00000025073.1)". The record is from RNAcentral. Lineage: Eukaryota; Metazoa; Chordata; Mammalia; Rodentia; Chinchillidae.